RNAcentral lists this non-coding RNA (30 nucleotides) under Mus musculus (house mouse). Lineage: Eukaryota; Metazoa; Chordata; Mammalia; Rodentia; Muridae. The record is from RNAcentral.
UAAGGUGGGAGCCAUGCGGACCAUAUCUCU